Molecule: ribosomal RNA, 496 nt
Filed under: uncultured bacterium
Lineage: Bacteria
Description: partial 16S ribosomal RNA
Rfam family: Bacterial small subunit ribosomal RNA
Source: RNAcentral
AUGAACGCUGGCGGCGUGCCUAAUACAUGCAAGUCGAGCGAACAGACGAGGAGCUUGCUCCUCUGACGUUAGCGGCGGACGGGUGAGUAACACGUGGAUAACCUACCUAUAAGACUGGGAUAACUUCGGGAAACCGGAGCUAAUACCGGAUAAUAUAUUGAACCGCAUGGUUCAAUAGUGAAAGACGGUUUUGCUGUCACUUAUAGAUGGAUCCGCGCCGCAUUAGCUAGUUGGUAAGGUAACGGCUUACCAAGGCGACGAUGCGUAGCCGACCUGAGAGGGUGAUCGGCCACACUGGAACUGAGACACGGUCCAGACUCCUACGGGAGGCAGCAGUAGGGAAUCUUCCGCAAUGGGCGAAAGCCUGACGGAGCAACGCCGCGUGAGUGAUGAAGGUCUUCGGAUCGUAAAACUCUGUUAUUAGGGAAGAACAAAUGUGUAAGUAACUAUGCACGUCUUGACGGUACUUAAUCAGAAAGCCACGGCUAACUACGUG